This 557-nucleotide ribosomal RNA is filed under the name uncultured archaeon. RNAcentral's name for it is "bacterial SSU rRNA". It matches the Rfam family "Archaeal small subunit ribosomal RNA", at positions 96 to 656 of the family's 1478-position model. The record is from RNAcentral.
ACACGUAGUCUACAUGCCCAGGGGACGUGGAUAACCUCGGGAAACUGAGAUUAAACCGCGAUAGGUCAAGAUUUCUGGAAUGGAUCCUGGCUUAAAUCUACAUGGCCCCUGGAUUGGACUGCGGCCGAUCAGGCUGUUGGUGAGGUAAUGGCCCACCAAACCUAUAACCGGUACGGGCUCUGAGAGGAGAAGCCCGGAGAUGGGCACUGAGACAAGGGCCCAGGCCCUAUGGGGCGCAGCAGGCGCGAAAACUCUGCAAUGGGCGAAAGCCUGACAGGGUUACUCUGAGUGAUUUCCGCUAAGGAGAUCUUUUGGCAGCUCUAAAAAUGGUGCAGAAUAAGGGGUGGGCAAGUCUGGUGUCAGCCGCCGCGGUAAUACCAGCACCCCGAGUGGUCGGGACGAUUAUUGGGCCUAAAGCAUCCGUAGCCGGUUGUGCAAGUCCUCCGUUAAAUCCAGCCGCUCAACGGAUGGGCUGCGGAGGAUACUACAGAACUAGGAGGCGGGAGAGGCAAGCGGUACUUAGUGGGUAGGGGUAAAAUCCUUUGAUCCAUUGAAGA